RNA transcript from Trichechus manatus latirostris (Florida manatee), 8462 nucleotides. It is a transcript of the gene named casein kinase 1 alpha 1, with no coding region annotated. NCBI's taxonomy places the organism in Eukaryota, Metazoa, Chordata, Mammalia, Sirenia, Trichechidae. The record is from RefSeq and is a predicted model, not a curated record. The transcript has 11 exons.
GAACCCAGUGGGGUAGAGCUCGAGAUCGCUUUCCCAGAGUCCUCUGCGCCGUGAAGAAGGGGCUCCGGGAGACUGGGGGCAUUUUGUGUUGGCUGGAGCCGGAGGAACAAGAUGGCGGCGUCGGCGGAGUGACAGGGGUUCCUCCGGGCGGGAGCCGGCGGCAGUGGUGGCAGCGGUAGCGCCGCCCUAACUUACCGUUCCCCUUUUCCAGCCCCGCGACACGUCGCCGCGAAAGCGAGUCAGCGGCGGCCGCCCAGAAGCAAGUGGCCCAGCCUAGUAAACGCGAGAACCCUCUCACAGACUGCGGCCUGGCAAAAAGAAACCUGACUGAGCGGCGGUGAUCAGGUUUCCUAGGCCGGUUCUGUGUUCUGUAACGCCGAGAAAAGACCUCCAUUUUCCGUUUCCUGACGCCCUCCUCAGCUUUGCUCCGUGGACCAGCCCCAGAGGCCCCAUCCUUCCCUCAUAGGUGUCGGGGCUUGGCCCCAGCCUUCCAUCUUCGUUUCUCAGGAUGGCGAGCAGCAGCGGCUCCAAGGCCGAGUUCAUUGUCGGAGGGAAAUAUAAACUGGUACGGAAGAUCGGUUCUGGCUCCUUUGGGGACAUUUAUCUGGCGAUCAACAUCACCAACGGCGAGGAAGUGGCAGUGAAGCUAGAAUCUCAGAAGGCCAGGCAUCCCCAGUUGCUGUACGAGAGCAAACUCUAUAAGAUUCUUCAAGGUGGGGUUGGCAUCCCCCACAUACGGUGGUAUGGUCAAGAAAAAGACUAUAAUGUGCUAGUCAUGGAUCUUCUCGGACCCAGCCUCGAAGACCUCUUCAAUUUCUGUUCAAGAAGGUUCACAAUGAAAACUGUACUUAUGUUAGCUGACCAGAUGAUCAGUAGAAUCGAAUAUGUGCAUACAAAGAAUUUUAUACACAGAGACAUUAAACCAGAUAACUUCCUAAUGGGUAUUGGGCGUCACUGUAAUAAGUGUUUAGAAUCUCCAGUGGGGAAGAGGAAAAGAAGCAUGACUGUUAGUACUUCUCAGGACCCAUCUUUCUCAGGAUUAAACCAGUUAUUCCUUAUUGAUUUUGGUUUGGCCAAAAAGUACAGAGACAACAGGACAAGGCAACACAUACCAUACAGAGAAGAUAAAAAUCUCACUGGCACUGCCCGAUACGCUAGCAUCAAUGCACAUCUUGGUAUUGAGCAGAGUCGCCGAGAUGACAUGGAGUCAUUAGGAUACGUUUUGAUGUAUUUCAAUAGAACCAGCCUGCCGUGGCAAGGACUAAAGGCUGCAACAAAGAAACAAAAAUAUGAAAAGAUUAGUGAAAAGAAGAUGUCCACUCCUGUUGAAGUUUUAUGUAAAGGGUUUCCUGCAGAAUUUGCUAUGUACUUAAACUAUUGUCGUGGGCUGCGCUUUGAGGAAGCCCCGGAUUACAUGUAUCUGAGGCAGCUAUUCCGCAUUCUUUUCAGGACCCUGAACCACCAAUAUGACUACACAUUUGAUUGGACGAUGUUAAAGCAGAAAGCAGCACAGCAGGCAGCCUCUUCCAGUGGGCAGGGUCAGCAGGCCCAAACCCCCACAGGCAAGCAAACUGACAAAACCAAGAGUAACAUGAAAGGUUAGUAGCCAAGAACCAAGUGACGUUACAGGGAAAAAAUUGAACACAAAAUUGGGUAAUUCAUUAAUUUCUAACAGUGUUAGAUCAAGGAGGUGGUUUUAAAAUACAUCAAAAAAUUUGGCUCUGUGUUUACAAAAAAAAAAAAAGACGUCCUUGGAAAAUUUGACUACUAACUUUAAACCCAAAUGUCCUUGUUCAUACAUAUAUGUAUAUGUAUUUGUAUAUACAUAUAUGUGUGUAUAUUAUAUCAUUUCUCUUGGGAUUUUGGGUCAUUUAUAACAACUGCAUCUUUUUUACUCAUUCAUUAACCUUUUCCAAAAUAAACAUUUGGUGUUGGGAAUAUGGUCAAUCAAUCCAAAAUCCUAGACCUAACACUUGUUGAUUUUAAGUAAUGAAUCUAGUUAGCCAUGGUAUUUUGACUUUCUUUCAGACUAACAGUGUUAAGUUUUUUGUUCGUUCUCCUGCAUGUUAACGCUUUAGCCUUUAGAAUUGAAAAUUGUGAAUAUGCUCUAAUUUCAAGAGGUGAGUCUGGCAUUAUCCCCAAAGUGUCUGUCUUCUCAGUUGCAGAGUGUUCCAAUUCCUCUCUUAAAUGCUCGAAGAACUGAAAAGCUCGAUACAUCUUUCCUAGUUACAAAAUAAAUCUCUUUUUUAGUUGCUGUUCAACUACACAUGUUCUUAAUUUCAAAAUGGUUCUCUUUUUGGCUCUUAAAUUUUUGAAACACUCAGGCUGUAACGGUCCUGUGUGGAAUUGAAAUCUGCAGUUAGGCCUUGCAAAUUGAAGAUACCUGGGGCAAAUGCCAUUGAACUGCAAGUCUGUUUCCUUUCUACUUUUCCUCAGGUAUUAGUGCUACUAAGAAGUAGAACUGUUAGGGCACAGCUCCAGUUCUUAUCACUGUUGCCAGACAGUUCCACUCCUCUGUUUCAUGCUUUUGUUUGCUAGUUUGUUUUUCUUUUCCCCUUUCUGGGGCUUACCUCCUGAUACUUGCCUACUUUCUGGAAAUGGUGGGCAAGUAAGGUUUGGUUUUUAGUUUCUAAUUAUUUAAUUGCUGAAUGACUGCUCUAGUCUGAACUUGGCCUUCAUAGAUUAAUCUUUGGUUCAUAUUUUUAGUGUUAUAUUUAAACAAUAAAAAGCAUUUUAAGAGAUUUAACUGAUGUCAUCCUCAUCCCAGCAGCUCAUCUAUUAGGCAUGAAGUUUAAAUGCUUCCCAUCCAUGUUUCUGUAUUUGGGAAAGAUUCAAAGUUUAAGGUUUGAUGUAGUGGGGAGUCUUAGACAAUGAAGUUUAAGCUUAGGAUAGCAAACGCUAAUGCUUGCCCAGUGCUCUGCAUCUCAGUUAAGACUUACUUGCCCCCUUUUGAGUCUUAUAAUCACUGUAUAAACAAUCAUAGUACCAAGAAGUUAUUAAUGAGCUAGGUGGCUAGUGUCCUUGAAAAAAUGGGCCUACCAUUUAGGUAAGACCAAGUAGAAGUCUAAACUGAAGAUUUGUUACACUUGACACGUAUAGGGUGUUUGCUUUUUCUCACAAAACAAAACCAAUUUUUGCUUAAAGCUAGCUGGGAUAGUAGGAUCAUCAUGAGUUGCAGUUUCUAGAACUGAAAUUAGAUUGAAAUCUCAUCUGACCUAGAACAUUUCACUUCAGGCAUUCAGCAGCCUUCAGAAAGAAUUACCUAAUUUUGAGCUAGUACCAUUGUUAGUUAACUGUGUGUCUCUUACUCAAUAAACAAGUAGAAUUUUUGUCCUGCCUUAUCCAGGUCUUAAAGAUGAGAAGUUGGAUCCACUGAGUUAGUAUGUUUCCUUGAAAAAAAAAAUAUAAUUAAACUUAAGUUUAAUCCUUAUUUUGUAUUGUAGCUAUUUUUCAUAAAAGCAACUUUCAGUCUUUUAAAGAUUUCAUAGUAUUAUUAGAUAUAAUGGUUAUACAAAUUAUUACAUAUACAUGGACUUAUAAAAUUUCUGAAAAGUUGGGCUUUCCAUAAAACACAUCACAUAAUCAUUAACUGAUUACUUUCAGAGAGAUAUUUCCUGGUGACAUGUUUUGACUAUAAGCAAAAUAUUGCUUGCUACAAAAACGUUCCACCCCCAGAAUAAAAAAAACAGUAUUUUCCUUUUGCUUUAUGCCUUCUUGAAAAUAACCGUAUUAUUUUGGAUGCAGAACCUAGUGCUCAAAACAAAUUUUAUGUGAAAGCCCUAUAUAUAAAGUCACAAAAGUGUAGCAGAUUUGAGGAUGACGUGAGAUAAGCAUGAGGAGCUGGUUCCCUCACCCUGUCAUCUGCAUUAUCCGUUAAGAAAUCUAGGAAAUUUGAAAACAACUGCUCUAGGUUAUUCCUGAUUCCAGUAUCUAAAUAUAAGGGUGUUUAAAAGCAUAUUCUUUUAAGGGUCCACCGCAGUAUUUUUUUUAAGGAAGAUUCAUGAUACAAUGAUCCCAAGAAAUCCUUUCAUUGAGAAUGAGAACACCAUAUCAAAUUUUUCUAGUUAAAAAUUUUAAAAGGUACUUUUUAUACAUUAUGUCACUCAUUCCUCACAGAGUUGUAUUUCAGAGAUUUACACAUCAGGGACAUUUCAUAAACUGACCUUCAGCAAGUAAAUCACUAUAUUGCAAGAAUAUCUAUGCUUGGAAAAAUUCUCCAAAUGGGGACACAUUCACUAAUGUAUUUAUUGUGGUUAUUUAAAAAAAAAAAAAACUAUAUCUAAUGUUCCUCGAUGGAAAACUAUAUUAAGUUGUUUUAUAGCAAUUCAUAGAAAAUAUCCAAACACUCUUUAGAGUGCUGACAUAAUCAGUUAACAUGGGCGUAUUAUGUAGUAGGCAAACUUCUGUCCUGAUUACUUUUCUUCAGAUCUUUUGAAAUACUCCAUUCCAAAGCCCGUCAAAAGACUAAGGAAGAAAACCAAAGUUUUUCUCCUAAUGCCCAUUAUUAGCUGUACUAGUAUUUCCGUGCCCAAGUACUACAAGAAUGUAAUUAUUAUUGUUUACAGUCAUGACAAGAGAAAAAUGUAAGAGUCCCAUCUGACAUACUUCCAAAUCCAUUUCACUCCCUUUUCUUCAAAUAUAUGUGAUUAUCACAAAAGUGCUUUUCAAGACUUUGUAAAGAAAGGAGAAAAUAUUUUUAGGACAUUCAGAAUCCAGUUAAGUUUACCAUUUUCUUUAUUUGAGGGAAGAGGGUGGGGGAAAUUUUAGAAGUUAGUAAAGCCAAAGAUAGAUCCUCACGUAAUUCUGUUAUUCUCUACUCUCAUCAUUUUAAUCCAUCCAUUCACUACCCUAGCCAUAUAAUUAAGUGUAGUUUUAUCGUAAUGAUAUAGAUGAAUGUCAGAUUGUUGGCAUUCAAAAGAGAUUAGAAAUAUUUUUCCAUUUCAUUAACCUGCCAUGUCCAUGGUCUUCCUUUAAUUACCUUCCAGUAUUUACUGGGCUUCACCUGCCAUUUAUGUCUAGCUUAACUUUUUCUGACUUCACCAAUUGCUGCUAGGAACGUGGCUGGUCACUCAGCAACGUAGCCCAAAUCACAGGGGAAGACCUUGAUAUACCUGGAGAGACUGAUCUGCUCUGAAUACACUCAAUCCAGAGAAGUGCCAGGGAGCCGCAUCUGCUUGCUGCAGUCUCCAGUUUUUGUCAUCUUUUUUCACUGUCGACAAAAAAGCUGGAUAGAAAAGAACUAAAUAACACAGCAGGAAAUGAAGAUGAAAAUGCAAGAGUUGGUUUAUUGUGAUCUGGAUGGAGCUCAUAUUUCCAAGGCUUGCUGGACCUGUCAAACUUUUCAACUUGUUGGAUCACUUGGGUGACACCACAGCAGUCAGAAGUCCUUGAAGAGUAUAGUGUUGCUGUGACUCAGUGAUGUAUAAUGCAGACCAUCUACCGGUUGGGGAAGGAAUCAGUUGUAACAGGAACAAAGGGAUUUAUCUCAUAUUUUGGCUGAUGUUACAGUGAAGAUGGGUUCUUGUACUUUCAGAAACCAGGAGACAUCACCCAGACUGCGAGAUAAAAACCACGAACUAAUGCAUACUGAGGAAAAGAGUGCUUAGUACUUGAAGAUUGAAUGUUGAAUACCUGCUGAAUGUUCAUAUUGAGGUUUUUUCCUAAACAAACUUCAGUAACAUCUUAGGACAAUUCACUUGGAGAAAAAUUGAUCCCUGGGUGGAAUAUCCUACCAUUGGCCCAUCUGAAGCGUUAAAUCUGGAUUUGACUGGUCCGUUCUACCAGGAACAUUGUCAGGCUAGCCAUUAACCAACCUCUCAACGAUUGUAAUCAUUAAUUAACCCAGCAGUUCCUCAAAUAUCGGAUUAAAAGUUGAACAUACGUAAUCCUUAUCUAAAGCUUCCCUGUUAAAGACACAGAGUUUCCUAGUAUAUUGACUGACAGUAUAGUUAAUGCUAUUUAGUUUGUUAGUGGUAGUGGUUUUCCAUUUUUUAAGCCCUGUUUGGUUUAUUCACUGGAAUGAAUUAUUCAAUAUAAUGUAUUUCCGUUUGCCAUGAAAACCCAGCAAUUUUAGUAUUUGUGAAAAGAUUUCUUCUUUUUAUCAUGUGUAAGUAUAAUUGCAGAACUUGAAACCAAAUGCUGACUGGAGUAAGGGUCCUUUCCAUUUAGCUAAUCCAUAGUUUCUUAACCUGCUUUAAAAUAUCCUGUAUUUUAAAAUUGGAAUUAGGUCACAGAGUAUGAUCACAACUUAAUUGGGGUUUGAUUUGACAGCCUUUGUUUUGGUACAUUCACCUUGCUAAUCCUAUUUAAUAAUAUACAUCAAAUAGUAUUCCCUAUGGUGAAGUAUAUUCUGAGAAAGUUUCAUUAUCUUUCACUUUUGGCAUUUGCUUCUUAGGAACUUAGUACUCAGCCAGCAAAGAUCUAUUCUGCAUCUACUCUGUAGUCAAGACACUAUGAGGAGACAGAGAAGUACAGCACUCCGAGCUUAUACCAUAUGCUUAUUAAACGAAUGAAGAUGACUGUUUCUACUCUCAAAUGAAAAAACUCCUAAUUAAUGAGUGAGAGAAUAUUUUCCAAAAAUGAUAUAGUGUUUGGCAUUAUCUUUGAAAAAAACAAAGGUAUACAUGCAUAAAAAGAAAAUAAUCCAAGUAUUUUAUUUAUCCCACAAAGGCCAUACAUUUGAGAAGUGAAAGAAUAAGGGCAGUUCAUGAUUGAAAAGCAUGGUUUGUGCUAAAAAAAAAAAUAAUGAGGAGAGACCUGGGCUAGUAUGAGGUAUGAUUAGGUAGGCUAUAAGGGUGAACAAAGAUACAGAUGCCUCUAAGGAAGAGUAGCUGUGGGUGACAAAAGGUGCUUAUGGUGUGUUCAUGUUAUUGUUGAGAGACGUUUCCUCUCUUUGCUCUUAACCAUAGGUAAAACAAGCAGCUAUUAUGACCCAAAGCCUUCUUAUAUCCAAACCUGCCUUUAUGCAGAAGUUCUAGGGCCUAUUUGUAGGGGCAGGGAGAGGUGUGUGUAUGCUACAUGGAGGGAAAACUUGAGACUUAAAGCCUAAAAAGCAUCACUUGUUUACAUUUUUAAAUCAGUAACAAAACUUAACCUUUGUAAUGAUCUGAUAGAAGUCAAGAAUUUUUGAAGCUCUGAAGUUUCUGUGUAGAAAUCAUAGACUUACCAUUUACUUUUAAUUGAACACGUUUAUUACAGCUUAACAUUCCUUAUUUGUAUCAGGAAUAAUGUUCAUGGAAGUUCCUCCACAUAGUAUGAUUAUACUCUCUCUAGUUGUUAAACAGCAAGGCAAUCUUACUUUUCAUCCAUUCAACAAAUAUUUGAACACAUUAUAAUAUGUUUUAGGUGAUAGAAAUACAGAAGUGAACAUAACGGGCUCAUUUGAAUUACCAGCAGUUCUCUAGCUUGAGAAUUGUAUGCUGACUCGGAGGCUUUAACUAACUGUACAACCACUCCUACCUAGUCAUGUGAAACAGAAAACUUUGUUUUCUUUAUAGAUUUAUGUUUUUGUUUUAAACAGUUGAGCUAAUGAUUUUCAAAGAGAUGAAAAAGAACGUGAGUCACUGUUAUAAAAUAAUUAUUGGCCCAUUUCAACGCAAUUUUUCUACUUCGGGUAUACUUUUAAAAUUUUAUUUUCACCUUGGAAUUUAACAUUCAUUUUUCUGUCUUUUUGUUAGGUUUCUAAGCAUGAAUUGAAGAACAAAAGAAGCAGAGCAGAUGAUCGGAGCAGCAUUUGUUUCUCCCCAAAUCUAGAAAUUUUAGUCCAUAUGUACACUAGCCAGUGGUUGUGGACAACCAUUUACUUGGUGUAACGAACUUAAUUUCAGUAUCAACUGGCUCUGGGCAGCACUGGUGAUGCUGUGUUCUGAGUUGUAGCCGCUGUAAUUUGUGAAUAUUAACUGAGAUAGUGAAACAUGGUGUCCAGUUUUCUAUUGCAUUUUUUCAAGUGGAAAAGUUAACUAAAUGGUUGACACACAAAUUGGUGGAGAAAUUGUGCAUAUGCCAAUUGUUUUGUUAAAACCUUUUGAACUGUACUGCUUUGAGAUGUCAUUUCAGAAGAACGGCAUGAACAGUCUUCAGCCACAGUUGUGAUGGUUGUAAAUGCUCAACAAUUGUGCAUUCUUAGGGUUUUUCCAUCCCUGGGGUUGCAAGUUGUUUACUUAAAACAUUCUCAAAAUGAUUGGCUUCUUGUUUGCAAGCCAGCUGAUAUGGUAGCAACCAAAGAUUCCAGUGUUUGAGCAUAUGAAAGACUCUGCCUGCUUACCUGUGCUAGAAUAACAGCAUCUAAAGUGAAGACUUAAGAAAAACUUAGUGACUACUAGAUUAUCUUUAGGACUCUGCAUUAACUCUAUAAUGUUCUUGGUAUUAAAGAGAAAAACAUAUUUGUCACAGAAUUAGUUACCAUCUUACAACUGAACAUGUAUGUAUGUUGCUUAGAUAAAUGUAAUCACUGUAAACAUCUA